Molecule: transfer RNA, 73 nt
Filed under: Phalansterium sp. PJK-2012
Lineage: Eukaryota; Evosea; Variosea
Description: tRNA-Asp
Rfam family: tRNA
About the family: Transfer RNA (tRNA) molecules are approximately 80 nucleotides in length. Their secondary structure includes four short double-helical elements and three loops (D, anti-codon, and T loops).
Source: RNAcentral
GGGGGAAUAGUUUAACGGCAAAAUACCAGGUUGUCGACCUGUGAGAUUGCGGGUUCGAAUCCCGUUUCUCCCG